AUGAGAUUUUUUAAACCGAGCUCUCGGUCACUGCUGGCUCCUGUCCCACACUGUGCUGGCACCUGGUGUGCCCAGGCGGCACCUGUCUCUCUGUCCCCCCCCAUGUCCCCGCACCCUCAGCUCCCCCUACGUCUGUCUGUCCCCUCCCUGUCUGUCCCCUCACUGUCCCUCUGUCCCCUCCGUGUCCCUCUGUCCCCUCACGCCCCUCAGGGUCCCCUCACGCCCCUCAGCCCCCCCCACCCCCCUUCACAGCCGCGUCCCCUCCUCCCCAGGAUCCCCAACUGUCACCGCUCCCUCCGCUCGCCCCGAUCCCCGCUUUGCCCCCGGUUCCUCCCGAGCCCCCCCCGGUUCCCCGCCCGCCCCCGGCGCCGCCGCCGCCCCCGGAGCCCCCCGGGACUCACCGGGCCCGACCCCGCCUCAGCCCAGCCCGGCCGCUCCCACACCGGAACCGCCUCAGCGCGCGACACCUCACUUCCGCCCGGACCGCACCAUCCGCUGUCCGGGGGGAGACCGGGGUGGAGGAUCACUCUCUUCCUGCUCUCCACACCUCGCCCCCCAGAGCAGCUUCUCCCUACAGAGAUCCUGAGGAGCCCUCUCGUCUUCCCUCGCACGGGGGUUGUGAGGGGCCGUGACGCUCCUAAACCCUGGACCGCUGAGCUCCCCCCCUGCACGCCCGCGCUUGGUACGCUCCGAUUGGCCCCGCAGCCGGCGCGGGGUGGGCGGGGACGAGCAGGGUCCCGUGGCUCGCGCUCAUUGGCCAGGCGCGGCGGGGCUCGGCCAAUCAGAAAAAUCCCCCGCGCGACGCCGCUGGGCCGGCGGCUGUUGCUAAGGGAGGGGCGGCGCGGGCGAGGGGAGCGGCGCCCUGAGCUGCACGGGGCCGCCCAGCCCGAGCCGGGUUUGUUCCUCUCCCCGUUUCACCCCCGGUGUUUCGCGGCCGCGGCGACUUCCCCGAUCCCUUCCCCUCACAAACUCCUCACAAACCGACCCUCCCUUCACACUUCUCCCUCACAGCGCUCAGCCAGUCAGCGACGUCUUCUUUGCGCGCCUCAUCUCUGA
This 1056-nucleotide long non-coding RNA is filed under the name Junco hyemalis (dark-eyed junco). Its description in RNAcentral is "lncRNA (ENSJHYG00000013027.1)". The record is from RNAcentral. Lineage: Eukaryota; Metazoa; Chordata; Aves; Passeriformes; Passerellidae.